Molecule: unclassified non-coding RNA, 537 nt
Filed under: Bombus terrestris (buff-tailed bumblebee)
Lineage: Eukaryota; Metazoa; Arthropoda; Insecta; Hymenoptera; Apidae
Description: misc RNA ENSBTSG00005033300.1
Source: RNAcentral
GGGGGUAUGAGUUAGUUGGGAAAUCGGACAGUUAAGAGGUUAGAAAGAGUGAGUGCGGAAGCUGGAGAGCGUGAGUGGAGGAGCCGGAGAGUAUGAAUCGGGAAGUUUAGAGCCGAGUAUGAUAAUAAGACGUACGACAAUAUUGUAAUCAGUUCGAUGUUUUGAAUAUUAUUUGUUAAACCAAAACAUCAUUACUUGGUCUUGCUCUAAAGACCCAUUUAAGUUACCACUUUAAUCCUUAGAGUGCUAUGGGCGCAUAUACGCGUCUGGCGAAAGCUAUCGGUGUGGACUAAGGACACAUAUAUACGUUUUCUCGAUCGUCAGCGCUAGCUGCGCGCCGUCCGUACGGACCGCAUAGGCUGCGAGUAUUCAGCACUCUAAGGGUUAAUAAUCGUAUUAUUGCAUCGCUUGGACAAUGAAGUCAAGGUACGAUGUGACCCUAGUGUAAACGCCGGGAUAUCCAGCUGCGGCGCACUUAUGACCAUAAGACAAAACCCUAUUUGAUAGAAGGUGAAUUUCUUUAAUAGCAUCAUUUUC